Molecule: ribosomal RNA, 416 nt
Filed under: uncultured eukaryote
Lineage: Eukaryota
Description: SSU rRNA
Rfam family: Eukaryotic small subunit ribosomal RNA
Source: RNAcentral
CCAGCAGCUGCGGUAAUUCCAGCUCUAAUAGCGUAUAUUAAAGUUGUUGCAGUUAAAAAGCUCGUAGUCGGAAGUCGGGCUCGGGCAGGCUGUCGGCCUCGGUUGGGCAGCUUGCUUGGGUCUUCUAGCUCGGGGGCCCCGUGCCAUUUAACCGUGGUGCGCGGGAACACGGGCCGUUUACUUUGAAAAAAUUAGAGUGUUCAAAGCAGGCCUCGUCGCCUGAAUAAUGGUGCAUGGAAUAAUGGAAUAGGACCUCGGUUCUAUUUUGCUGGUUUUCGGAGCUGGAGGUAAUGAUUAAGAGGGACUGACGGGGGCAUUCGUAUUACGGUGUUAGAGGUGAAAUUCUUGGAUCGCCGUAAGACGAACUACUGCGAAAGCAUUUGCCAAGAAUGUUUUCAUUAAUCAAGAACGAAAGU